Molecule: ribosomal RNA, 393 nt
Filed under: uncultured bacterium
Lineage: Bacteria
Description: partial 16S ribosomal RNA
Rfam family: Bacterial small subunit ribosomal RNA
Source: RNAcentral
AUACGGAGGAUCCGAGCGUUAUCCGGAUUUAUUGGGUUUAAAGGGAGCGUAGGUGGAUUGUUAAGUCAGUUGUGAAAGUUUGCGGCUCAACCGUAAAAUUGCAGUUGAAACUGGGAGUCUUGAGUACAGUAGAGGUGGGCGGAAUUCGUGGUGUAGCGGUGAAAUGCUUAGAUAUCACGAAGAACUCCGAUUGCGAAGGCAGCUCACUAGACUGUCACUGACACUGAUGCUCGAAAGUGUGGGUAUCAAACAGGAUUAGAUACCCUGGUAGUCCACACAGUAAACGAUGAAUACUCGCUGUUUGCGAUAUACAGUAAGCGGCCAAGCGAAAGCGUUAAGUAUUCCACCUGGGGAGUACGCCGGCAACGGUGAAACUCAAAGGAAUUGACGGGG